This 220-nucleotide ribosomal RNA is filed under the name uncultured Entrophospora. RNAcentral describes it as "uncultured Claroideoglomus partial small subunit ribosomal RNA". It matches the Rfam family "Eukaryotic small subunit ribosomal RNA", at positions 591 to 811 of the family's 1831-position model. The record is from RNAcentral. Lineage: Eukaryota; Fungi; Glomeromycota; Glomeromycetes; Entrophosporales; Entrophosporaceae.
CCAAUAGCGUAUAUUAAAGUUGUUGCAGUUAAAAAGCUCGUAGUUGAAUUUCGGGAUUGACACAUCGGUCGUGCCUUAAGGGGUAUGAACUGGUGUAGUCAAUUUCUCACCUUCUGGAGAACCGCGAUGUCCUUAAUUGGGUGCCGCGAGGAACCAGGACCUUUACUUUGAAAAAAUUAGAGUGUUUAAAGCAGGCAUUUUGCUUGAAUACAUUAGCAUG